GCCCGGUUAGCUCAAUCGGUAGAGCGUGAGACUCUUAAUCUCAAGGUUGCGGGUGAGUAGCAUGUUCAGCCCAUAUACAUAUAAUCAUUGCGUAUUAACCCUAUGAUCAAGGUUCGACCCCCGCAUCGGGCU
Molecule: transfer RNA, 132 nt
Filed under: Rosellinia necatrix
Lineage: Eukaryota; Fungi; Ascomycota; Sordariomycetes; Xylariales; Xylariaceae
Rfam family: tRNA
About the family: Transfer RNA (tRNA) molecules are approximately 80 nucleotides in length. Their secondary structure includes four short double-helical elements and three loops (D, anti-codon, and T loops).
Source: Rfam by way of RNAcentral